GAUCAAGUGACUAAGUGUAUGUGGUGGAUGCCUUGGCGAUUACAGGCGAAGAAGGACGUGGCAGUCUGCGAAAAGCCGUGGGGAGCUGACAACGAGCGUUGAACCAUGGAUAUCCGAAUGAGGGAACUCACCUGCAAAGGUAUCUUUAAGUGAAUACAUAGCUUGAAGAGGCGAACGGAGUGAACUGAAACAUCUGAGUAGCUCCAGGAAAAGAAAUCAACCGAGAUUGCGCUAGUAGCGGCGAGCGAAUGCGCA
This 255-nucleotide non-coding RNA is filed under the name Sutterella sp. CAG:521. RNAcentral's name for it is "Bacterial large subunit ribosomal RNA". It matches the Rfam family "Bacterial large subunit ribosomal RNA", at positions 1 to 263 of the family's 2925-position model. The record is from Rfam by way of RNAcentral. Lineage: Bacteria; Pseudomonadati; Pseudomonadota; Betaproteobacteria; Burkholderiales; Sutterellaceae.